This 2346-nucleotide long non-coding RNA is filed under the name Volvox carteri. RNAcentral describes it as "long non-coding RNA (VCAR_LNC004031)". The record is from RNAcentral. Lineage: Eukaryota; Viridiplantae; Chlorophyta; Chlorophyceae; Chlamydomonadales; Volvocaceae.
GGGGUUCCAAUUGCGUGCGCGUAUGGAUGCUCCUUUCGCCGCCGCCUUUCCAGCAACUAGUUGAUGUUAUGAUGCAUCGUUGGUCCGGUGUACGACGGCGCCUGGUGCGAUUUAUGCGUCCGGAAGCCCUUUCAGCCUCCAGGCAUGUCCCCACCUGCCUCAUAGCCACCGACGCAUCUCACGGCGGGGUUCCAAUUGCGUGCGCGUAUGGAUGCUCCUAUUCGCCGCCGCCUUUCUAGCAACUAGUUGAUGUUAUGAUGCAUCGUUGGUCCGGUGUACGACGGCGCCUGAUGCGAUUUAUGCGUCCGGAAGCCCUUUCAGCCUCCAGGCAUGUCCCCACCUGCCUCACAGCGACCGAGGCAUCUCACGGCGGGGGUCUAAUUGCGUGCGCGUAUGGAUGCUCCUUUCCCCGCCGCCUUUCUAGCAACUAGUUGAUGUUAUGAUGCAUCGUUGGUCCGGCGUAUGACGGCGCCUGGUGCGAUUUAGGCGUCCGGAAGCCCUUUCAGCCUCCAGGCAUGUCCCCACCUGCCUCACAGCCACCGACGCAUCUCACGGCGGGGGUCUAAUUGCGUGCGCGUAUGGAUGCUCCUUUCCCCGCCGCCUUUCUAGCAACUAGUUGAUGUUAUGAUGCAUCGUUGGUCCGGCGUACGACGGCGCCUGAUGCGAUUUAUGCGUCCGGAAGCCCUUUCAGCCUCCAGGCAUGACCCCACCUGCCUCACAGCUACCGAGGCAUCUCACGGCGGGGGUCCAAUUGCGUGCGCGUAUGGAUGCUCCUUUCCCCGCCGCCUUUCUAGCAACUAGUUGAUGUUAUGAUGCAUCGUUGGUCCAGUGUACGACGGCGCCUGAUGCGAUUUAUGCGUCCGGAAGCCCUUUCAGCCUCCAGGCAUGUCCCCACCUGCCUCACAGCCACCGACGCAUCUCACGGCGGGGUUCCAAUUGUGUGCGCGUAUGGAUGCUCCUUUCCCCGCCGCCUUUCUAGCAACUAGUUGAUGUUAUGAUGCAUCGUUGGUCCGGUGUACGACGGCGCCUGAUGCGAUUUAUGCGUCCGGAAGCCCUUUCAGCCUCCAGGCACGUCCCCACCUGCCUCACAGCCACCGACGCAUCUCACGGCGGGGUUCCAAUUGUGUGCGCAUAUGGAUGCUCCUUUCCCCGCCGCCUUUCUAGCAACUAGUUGAUGUGAUGAUGCAUCGUCGGUCCGGUGUACGAUGGCGCCUGAUGCGAUUUAUGCGUCCGGAAGCCCUUUCAGCCUCCAGGCAUGUCCCCACCUGCCUCACAGCUACCGAGGCAUCUCACGGCGGGGUUCCAAUUGUGUGCGCGUAUGGAUGCUCCUUUCCCCGCCGCCUUUCUAGCAACUAGUUGAUGUUAUGAUGCAUCGUUGGUCCGGUGUACGAUGGCGCCUGAUGCGAUUUAUGCGUCCGGAAGCCCUUUCAGCCUCCAGGCACGUCCCCACCUGCCUCACAGCCACCGACGCAUCUCACGGCGGGGGUCUAAUUGCGUGCGCGUAUGGAUGCUCCUUUCCCCGCCGCCUUUCUAGCAACUAGUUGAUGUUAUGAUGCAUCGUUGUUCCAGUGUACGACGGCGCCUGAUGCGAUUUAUGCGUCCGGAAGCCCUUUCAGCCUCCAGGCAUGUCCCCACCUGCCUCACAGCCACCGACGCAUCUCACGGCGGGGUUCAUAUUGCGUGCGCGUAUGGAUGCUCCUUUCGCCGCCUUUCCAGCAACUAGUUGAUGUUAUGAUGCAUCGUUGGUCCGGCGUACGACGGCGCCUGAUGCGAUUUAUGCGUCCGGAAGCCCUUUCAGCCUCCANNNNNNNNNNNNNNNNNNNNNNNNNNNNNNNNNNNNNNNNNNNNNNNNNNCUUUCCCCGCCGCCUUUCUAGCAACUAGUUGAUGUUAUGAUGCAUCGUUGGUCCGGUGUACGACGGCGCCUGAUGCGAUUUAUGCGUCCGGAAGCCCUUUCAGCCUCCAGGCAUGACCCCACCUGCCUCACAGCUACCGAGGCAUCUCACGGCGGGGUUCCAAUUGCGUGCGCGUAUGGAUGCUCCUUUCCCCGCCGCCUUUCUAGCAACUAGUUGAUGUUAUGAUGCAUCGUUGGUCCAGUGUACGACGGCGCCUGAUGCGAUUUAUGCGUCCGGAAGCCCUUUCAGCCUCCAGGCAUGUCCCCACCUGCCUCACAGCCACCGACGCAUCUCACGGCGGGGUUCCAAUUGUGUGCGCGUAUGGAUGCUCCUUUCCCCGCCGCCUUUCUAGCAACUAGUUGAUGUUAUGAUGCAUCGUUGGUCCGGUGUACGACGGCGCCUGAUGCGAUUUAUGCGUCCGGAAGCCCUUUCAGCCUCCAGGCACGUCCCCAC